RNAcentral lists this ribosomal RNA (460 nucleotides) under Terrahaemophilus aromaticivorans. RNAcentral's name for it is "bacterial SSU rRNA". It matches the Rfam family "Bacterial small subunit ribosomal RNA", at positions 30 to 477 of the family's 1533-position model. The record is from RNAcentral. Lineage: Bacteria; Pseudomonadati; Pseudomonadota; Gammaproteobacteria; Pasteurellales; Pasteurellaceae.
AUUGAACGCUGGCGGCAGGCUUAACACAUGCAAGUCGAACGGUAACAUAAAGAAGCUUGCUUCCUUGAUGACGAGUGGCGGACGGGUGAGUAAUGCUUGGGAAUCUAGCUUAUGGAGGGGGAUAACUACGGGAAACUGUAGCUAAUACCGCGUAGAAUCGAGAGAUGAAAGUGUGGGACCUUCGGGCCACAUGCCAUAGGAUGAGCCCAAGUGGGAUUAGGUAGUUGGUGAGGUAAAGGCUCACCAAGCCGACGAUCUCUAGCUGGUCUGAGAGGAUGACCAGCCACACUGGGACUGAGACACGGCCCAGACUCCUACGGGAGGCAGCAGUGGGGAAUAUUGCGCAAUGGGGGCAACCCUGACGCAGCCAUGCCGCGUGAAUGAAGAAGGCCUUCGGGUUGUAAAGUUCUUUCGGUAGCGAGGAAGGCAUUUAGUUUAAUAGACUAGGUGAUUGACGUAA